Molecule: ribosomal RNA, 485 nt
Filed under: uncultured bacterium
Lineage: Bacteria
Description: partial 16S ribosomal RNA
Rfam family: Bacterial small subunit ribosomal RNA
Source: RNAcentral
AUGAACGCUGGCGGCGUGCCUAAUACAUGCAAGUCGAACGCUGGAAAUCUAGCUUGCUAGAUUGAAGGAGUGGCGAACGGGUGAGUAAUACAUAAGCAACCUACCCACGAAGACUGGGAUAAUCUCUGGAAACGGGGACUAAUACCGGAUAGGUAAUCGGAAGGCAUCUUCUGAUUAUUAAAGGUUAAAAACACUGGUGGAUGGGCUUAUGGCGCAUUAGUUAGUUGGUGAGGUAACGGCCCACCAAGACGAUGAUGCGUAGCCGGCCUGAGAGGGUGAACGGCCACAUUGGGACUGAGACACGGCCCAGACUCCUACGGGAGGCAGCAGUAGGGAAUUUUCGGCAAUGGGGGAAACCCUGACCGAGCAACGCCGCGUGAGUGAUGACGGCCUUCGGGGUGUAAAGCUCUGUUGUAAGGGAAGAACGGUAGAUAGAGAAUAUCUAAAUGACGGUACCUUACCAGAAAGCCACGGCUAACUACGUG